CCUACGGGUGGCAGCAGUGGGGAAUAUUGCACAAUGGGGGAAACCCUGAUGCAGCGACGCCGCGUGAGUGAAGAAGUAGUUCGGUAUGUAAAGCUCUAUCAGCAGGGAAGAAAUAAAGUCCUUCGGACUUUGGACGGUACCUGACUAAGAAGCCCCGGCUAACUACGUGCCAGCAGCCGCGGGAAUACGUAGGGGGCAAGCGUUAUCCGGAUUUACUGGGUGUAAAGGGAGCGUAGACGGCAGCGCAAGUCUGGAGUGAAAUCCCAUGGCUUAACCAUGGAACUGCUUUGGAAACUGUGCGGCUGGAGUGCAGGAGAGGUAAGCGGAAUUCCUAGUGCAGCGGUGAAAUGCGUAGAUAUUAGGAGGAACACCAGUGGCGAAGGCGGCUUACUGGACUGUAACUGACGUUGAGGCUCGAAAGCGUGGGGAGCGAACAGGAUUAGAUACCCCUGUAGUC
This 457-nucleotide ribosomal RNA is filed under the name uncultured bacterium. RNAcentral describes it as "partial 16S ribosomal RNA". It matches the Rfam family "Bacterial small subunit ribosomal RNA", at positions 338 to 795 of the family's 1533-position model. The record is from RNAcentral.